Molecule: long non-coding RNA, 26055 nt
Filed under: Brassica rapa (field mustard)
Lineage: Eukaryota; Viridiplantae; Streptophyta; Magnoliopsida; Brassicales; Brassicaceae
Description: long non-coding RNA (BRAP_LNC004675)
Source: RNAcentral
AGCAAGACCCUUGAGGUAAAAAGUGUAGAACAGUUUCGUCCGAUACACAAGCUGACGUAGCUUAACCUGUCCGUACGCACCUUCGAAGAUGCCGGUACCACCGGUGACGGCGAGGAACGUAUCUUCGUAAGUCAAGUACUGUCCUUCUACGGACAACUGGCCGCAGUGUCCGAAGUAAAAGCUGUAAUUGGCUUCGAACCUGUCGCCGUUCUUCUCCGGAACGUGUUGGAUCAAGACGUAGAGACCGGCGGUGAUUCCCACGCGCUUUUUGAGAUCACCGGUGUAGAGUUUGUUGGUGAAAGGUACGAGAUCGCCGAGACAGAGCUCUGGUUUCUUGCCGAGUUUUAGAACUGCUGGACUGUUUCGAUCUCUUUCGUUGAGUUCGUACACGUUGAGCUCUUGGGUCUUACCUGAAUAAUAACAAGACACAGGUUUGAACUUAAAAGGUCUGUCCUUUACACGAAAUUUGAUAUCAAUUAUUUCUCAAAAAUUAUGAUAUUUCGAACUGGGUAAUUGGUUUUAAGAUCAGAUUAAUGUUUUUACAUAAUCAAUUUGCACAUAUUAUAUACGGCCAUUCUCUCAGAAAUAUUUUUUUAAAAGUUUUUGUCACAAUAACCUCCUCCUUAGUUUGAAUUUUUCAGAUUUUGAAUAGAUUCUAAAUGGACUGAAUUUUAAUAUGGUUCGAUUUUGUUUUUGGCUGCUUCGGUUUUGGAUUGAAUACUAUUGUGCAUAAUUAAGUAAUAUAGUAGAUUAGAAUUUAUUGUAAAAGUCUGUUUAUAUUUUUAACUAAAAAUUAUUGAUAUCAUAAAAUUCCGGUUUGGAAUUAUAUUAGUAAACUUAGGUUGAUUUGACUAUAUAGCACACCCGUAAUAUAUAAGAACUCCAUUAUGGGGGUGAUUGGUAGUUGCUGUCCACAGCCCUAUUUAUUUUUACAGCACCAAAUUCAAAGCAAUCAAGCUUUAAAUUUUUUUUUGAAACCACAGCUCUUAAAAUAACCAACAGCUGUACAAUUACUCUGUAGAGCCAAAUAUCCAAAGCAAUUUUUUAGUGCUUUCCAUAAAAUUCUACAGCAAUAAAAUCUAAAGCCAAAGCAAAAAAAUCUGAAUUUUUUUCCACAGCAAAAUUUUUAAAGCUACAGCCAUUACCAAUCAGACCCUAUAUUAGUAAGUAUUUGAAAUUGUAGGAGCAGGUGACACCUCUACAAAAACAAUACAGUGGACAAUGGCUGAAAUUAUCAACAACCCUAAGAUCCUUGGGAGACUGAGAGAAGAAAUUGAUUCAGUAGUAGGGAAGACAAGAUUGGUCCAAGAAACUGAUCUACCAAGGGAAUUUGAGCAAGGGUGUAAGGUAGGAGGGUUCUACAUACCGGAGGGCACGUCUCUUUUAAUUAAUGUUUAUGCUGUGAUGAGAGAUCCUGAUGAGUUUAGACCAGAGAGGUUUCUAAGGGAAGAAAAAGAGAGAAGAUAUUGAUUUUUGGUGCUGGAAGGAGAGGAUGUCCUGGAUCAAAUCUUGCUUAUAUAUUAGUAGGAGUCGCCAUUGGAGUGAUGGUGCAAUGUUUUGAUUGGGUAAUCGAAGGAGAGAAAGUCAACAUGGAAGAGGCUUCUGGAAAAGCUUUCUUGUCUUUGGCUCAUGCUGUUAACUGCAUUCCUCUUCCUCGUUUCCCAUAUCCUUUAAUUUCCACUUUGUAGAUUAUCAAUUUGUGAAUUCGAGUUUCACUAUAUUUCCAAACAUAUCUAUUGCACUUGGUUUUGUUUUAUCAAUAACAUACAUUAUGGUAUUAUCAGCACACUAGCACAUACCACUAGUUGACUAGUAUAUCAACAUACUUUCAUUUAGUUUGGUGAGAACGUGAAUGGAUUUGGACGAAUAUAAAAGUGAAGUUAAUAGCUUUUAACUUCUUUUCUUGCAAGAAAAUUUAUAUCUAGUAACUUGCUAUUGUUCUUUAUUAAAAAUAAUAAUAUUUCAUUAUACAAAGACACAAAAAGCAUAAUGAAUUUAAUUAGUAAAGUUACAAAUAACUCCGCUAGGCUCCAAUGUCUUAGCUUCCGGCGCAGGCUUCACGUCCUUGGAUGGAGGAACCGGAGUCCCGGUGAGCUCCGCCGGCAAAUCACCAGCAAGACCCUUGAGGUAAAAAGUGUAUAACAGUUUUGUCGGAUACACAAGCUGUUGAAGCUUGACCUGUCCGUAAGCACCUUCGAAUAUUCCAGUGCCACCGGUGAUGGCGAGGAACGAGUCCUCGUACGUCAGGUACGGUCCUUGGACGGAUAAGUGACCGUAGUCGCCGAAGUAGAAGCUGUAAGUGGCUUCGAACCGUUCACCUUUCUUCUCCGGGACGUGUGCGAUCACGACGCAAAGACCGGCGGUGAUUCCCACGCGCUUCUUGAGGUCGCCAGUGUAGAGUUUGUUGGUGAAUGGGACGAGAUCGCCGAGACCGAACGUUAGGCUAGCGGCGUUUUUCAGGAUUUUUGGGCUGUGUCGGUCUAGUUCGUUGAGCUCGUACACGCUCAGUUCUUGAAUUCUACCUGAAUUUUCAAGAACAAAGAAAAUAAAAAAACGAAAACUCAAUUUGUGAAUUUUGAGAUCAUGCUUAAAAAUAUAUGAAAUGUCCUCAAAAGACAAAAAAAAGGGAUCAAUGAACUUACUUGGUCUGGAGUUUUCGAUAUGUCCGUUCUGGGAGAGAGCUCGGGACAGAGUGAGGUUCUCGGGAGUGGAAGUUGAACGAGAGGAGAAACCCGAACCGUUGGAUGAGAUCCCAAGAGUCUUGAAGUGUUUAGAGAAACCGAGAAGAGAGUUACGAUGAGAUUGGUGGUUACAGGAGAGAUUGUUGAGAGUUGUCGUGGAGAUGGAUUGGAGAGACAUCGCAUAAGAAGCCAUUUGAUCAAAGAGACUUUAAGACGCUGUGUUUUGGUUGAAAAGCUAUGGUUUAUGUUUUAGUGUGUUUGAGUUCUACGAAUGUCAAUGGUGUGUGCAUAUAUAUACAUAUUUCGAUGAUGAAUUAUUGUGAUAAGUUAAACGUUCGUAUAAAGUGAUUUCCAUGGUCGGCACGUGUGUGUGUGUGUGAAUUUGAAUUGUUGGGACAGAUUGAAGAAUUUGCAUUUGGUUUUGGUCGGCACGUGGAAAUGGUUGGUCCAUGUGUUUGGUUGGAACUUGGAUGACUUAUGGUCGGUCCCUGAACCACAUAAAUAAAAAUACAAAAACGUGCGAUCCGUGAAGCUUAGAAUGCAUGAGUCUACUAACUACGUUCUUGGGCCAGAUGUAAAGAAACCAAGACAUUUGAUUUAAAUGCUUAGAGAAAUAGCUUAAAUAACUAUUUAUUAGAAAUGGUUUCCUCUUUGGAAGGUUUGGACGGAUAAUGAAACAAAUAGAUAGGUCAGAAUAAUUGUGGUUAAUACGAAACAAAUGGAUUGGACGGAUCAUCAAACAGUGCAGAAUAAACGGAUUGGACGAAUUGUACCAUCAAUAAACAAAAUAAAAAAUAUGAAUGGAACUUAUGAUAAUAAGAGUUUGUUACAUACCUGUAUAGUUUAGUAACUAUUAAACUUGGACUAAUAUUUUCUAGUAUUAUUUUAUCACUUGAUAAAAAUUUAACAAAAUGAGAAUUACAUUUUUAAAUUACAUACUUUGGAUCAAAAAUAGCUCACAAAACAUGAGACCCAAAAAAAACACAACGCACAUGAGGAACAUAUGGUUUAUCCCCUCUCCUCCGCACCGUACUUAUUCUGGUACAUCUCUCAAAGCCAAUGAUUAUGUAUAGCCUGUUCUUUUAGUUUAUUAUUUAUUGACCAUAAAAGUCCACUUUAUAACACAUGCUACUAGGUCUUUUCUGCACAAUGACACUGAUGUAAGAGCAUGAGCAUUGGUGAACCCCAAAGUGGGGUUCACCAACAUUUUUUAUUAUUUUUUCGUGGGCCCAUGAACAGUUAUGAACUUGGAUAUGCUGUUUUCUGCAUUAGUGAACCCGAUGAAAGAGUUCAUAGGAAUAAAAUAAUAAUAUUAAUUUUUUUAAAAAAAAUUUAAAAUAUUCAGAAAAGAUGAAUAAAAUAUUAAAACAUAUUAUUAAAAUUAUGAAAACAUUUUAUUCAAUACAUUAAAAGUACAUUACAUAAAAGAGAAAUUUUUCUAACAUACAUAACUUAUUUAUUCAUCUUCAUCACCGAACUUUUGCCAUAUAUUUUCCAUCAAAUCAGCUUUCAAACGAGCAUGCUUCUCUGGAUCUCGAACUUCUCUGCGCAUGCCUAACAUAUCACCGACAUGAAUGCUUUCUCUCCUUGUCACCCUCGAAGUUCUGCUUGAUUCUCCGGACUCGAACUCAGAAGUAUCAAUUUGAGCGUAUCCGUGUCGUUCGUUCUCUACUAUCAUAUUGUGCAAUAUGACACAAGUUCUCAUGAUCUUUCCUAUCUUCUCCUUGUCCCAUUGGAGAGCUGGGUUUUUAACAAUUGCAAACCUCGAUUGCAAUACUCCAAAAGCCCGUUCGACAUCUUUUCUGGCGGAUUCUUGCUUUUCUGCAAAUUUCUCGGCUUUAGGACCUUGAGGAAGUGGGAUGGAUUGGAUAAAUGUUGACCAGUUUGGAUAAAUUCCGUCAGUAAGAUAGUAGGCCAUACGAUAAGUGUGGUUGUUGACCUUGAACUUAACUUUUGGUGCUCGACCAUGUAAGAUGUCAUCAAAAACAGGGGACCGAUCAAGAACAUUGAUAUCGUUGAGGGUACCUGGUAAGCCGAAAAAUGCGUGCCAUAUCCAAAGAUCUUGUGAUGCCACGGCUUCUAAGACAAUUGUCGGCUUUCCUGAACCACGUGUGAACUGACCUUUCCAAGCCGUUGGGCAGUUUUUCCACUCCCAAUGCAUGCAGUCGAUGCUGCCUAUCAUCCCCGGAAACCCCCGUACCUCUCCAACAUCGAGUAAGCGUUGAAGAUCUUCGGCUGUAGGUUUUCGUAGAUACUCAUUUCCAAACAAUUCUAUUAUUGCAUCCGUGAAAUUUGCCAAACACAAACGUGAUGUACUGUCACCGAGUCGAGAUAUUCGUCAUAUGUAUCUCCCGAUUGACCAUAUGCCAGCAUACGUAUAGCUGCCGUACACUUUUGAAGUGCAGAUAGCCCGUUCCUCCCGUGAGCAUUUCGUCUUUGCUGAAAGUAUGGAACUUCAUUACUUAUACGUUCGACAAUGCGAAGGAACAAUGGCUUGUUCAUUCGAAAACGCCUCCUAAACAUUUCCGGUGGGUAUGUAGGAUUUUCUUUGAAAUAAUCGUUCCAUAGUUGAUUGUGUCCUUGUUCCCGAUCUCUGUCGAUAUAAGCACGUCUUUUUGGCUUCUUACCUUGGACCUCAACUAUUGAGUCGAUGUAAUUAUCAACUACUUCGUCGACCAUUUCUUCUAUAGCUUCAUCAACUUCAUCACUUGAUGAGGAUGACAUUGUUGAUGUUUUCUUCCUAACAUGACAAAAGGGGAUUUGUAAUUUAAUAUUUUAUUUUAAGAAUCCUAUUUUAUUUUAACUAAAAAUCUUUCUAAUUAUCAUAAACCAUUUUUUUAAGAAUCCAAUUUUUAACUUCAAUCCUAUUUUAUUUUAACUAAAAUUCUUUCUAAUUUUCAUAAACCAUUUUUUUUUUAAGAAUCCUAUUUUUGUACUUCAAUCAUAUUAUAUUUUAACUAAAAAUCUUUAUAAUUUUCUACAACCAUAUUUUUUUAAGCAUCCAAUUUUUAACUUCAAUCAUAUUAUAUUUUAACUAAAAUUCUUUCUAAUUUUCAUAAACCAUUUUUUUAAAGAAUCCAAUUUUUUCUUCAUCCAUAUUUUAUUCUACAACCAUAUUUUCUUACCAAUCUUGAAGGUAGUUGCUCUUGUUUGUUGUUGAAGGUAGUUGCUCUUGUAUGUGUGUUUGUUGGUCACGGACUUCACUCCUUGGUUAGCCAUGCGAACUGGUGAUUGCUUCCAUUGCCACAAGCCAGGUCAUUGGCCUUUACGUUGUAGUUUGUUGUAGGUUUUUGUUGUUUGAAUUUAGUUGUUGUAGUUUGUUGUAUGUUGUACAUCCGUGAGCAAGAGAAGAAAUAGAAGAUCACUUUGAAAUAAACAAGACAAACAAGAGCAACACACAGAAGAGAAACAAUAGCAAGAGAAGAAAUAGAAGAUCACUUUGAUUAAAAAGCAGAGAGUAGAGACAUCAUUUAAAUAGAGAGACAUAGAGUUACAACAUAGUACAUCCGUGAAUCAAGUUCAGUACAUCCGUGAACCAAGUUCAGAGUUACAACAAUAGCAAAAUACAUAGACAUAGUACAUGAUUGACCUGCAGUGUAGAAAGAAACAUAACCCGUGACCUGCAACAACCUAAACUUCCAACCCGUGACCUGCAACACUGUCACCUCCAACCCGUGACCUGCAGAAGAAAAGCUAACAUAAUCAGUAAAGCAAAGCAAGGAAAUACACAUCAACUACUCAAGCAAAGCAAGAAAAUACACACAAUAGACAUCAAAGCAUUUCAGAGAUGAGUUUAUUCUUGAGAGCCACUUCAUUAUCAGAAAGUGUGUCUAUGUUUUUGGCUAGCAAACGAUCAAGGAUCUUUUGUCUGGAAAUGGUAUUUUUCUCAGCUAGGAUGGUAUGUAUAUGAUCAUAAGCUGCUUCAUUUGGCUUCUUGCGUUUAGCAGCUUUGCUAGCCUUAACACCAGGAGGCCUAACCUCUUCCUCCUCACGCACCGCCUCCGCACCACCUUCCUUCCUUUUCUCCUUCGGCUGAGAGUGUGACCUCCACUUCUGAUCAAACCGGAGUUCCCUCCAGCAAUGUUCAAGCGCAAACUUGAGAUGGUAGUCAUUGAAAUAGAUGUCAUGCGCAGUCUUCAUGACAUCAUUUUCACUUUGCCCACUCGAUUGCUCCUUCAGAGCCGUUUCAUGGGAACCCACAAACCUGCAGACCUCUGCAUUCACCCUUCCCCACCUCUGCUUACAUUGACCCCACUCUCGAGGAAGGGAGCCAAUGAGCUGAGGACUAGAAUUGAAAUACGCCUCAAUUCUCUUCCAAAAAGUCCCUAACUUCUGUUCAUUACUAACUAUCGGAUCUUUGCUGGUGUUUAACCAAGCACUGAUCAGUACAAGGUCUUCUUUGGUUGUCCACUUUCUCCUUUCCGGUGGUUUAACUAACCCGGGUGAGUUAACUGCAGCCUCAGCAGAGUCAACGUCUAUUGGACUACUGCUCUGCGAAGCUAAUAGGUUAACAAACCCGGGACCGUGAAGGGAAAAAGGUUCCAUGUUUGAGGGUUUUGUGUUCUGGUUUUGGUUUGAGGGUUACCGGUUUUUGUUUUGGUUUUGUGUUAAGAUGUAUCUGUAAAUUUUUAGGCUGGAGUUACUAUGUUUUUAAACAAGUUUUUACGUGUGGAAAGAGAUAAAAUUUAACUAACAAUACCAACCAAAAUUCAUUACAGAACUACUACAUAGUAAUGAGCAGUCAAUAGACAUCAAAUCAGGCGAAAAUACAGGGUAUUUUCCGUUUCAAAAGAGAGAAAAUUAAACUAUCUCUACCAACCUAAGUACAAUUCAACAUUAAUCACAGCAACCAACCAACCAACAAUUAAUAUCUACUUGUACUUCUAGUUCUCGUACUAGUUUAGUUUAUGUCUACUUCUAGUUCUACAAAUAGUUAUACUUUUGUUCUACUUCUACUCCUACGUCUACUUCAAUCCACAGAUAACAAUUACCCUAGAUAUAGUUUAGCUGACUCUAACCUUUCAUUGUCAAUCGAAGCAGACCUUCUCGAGGGAAUGGACCUGCACAGUGAGGUCAUAGACAGCCUCAUUGAGUGAAUUAACCUGUUCCUGGACAUGGCAAAAGUGUAGGAGAUUUGUGUUAGUAACUGUAAUACAAAUACAAGGAAAAAAAUUAAAAGCGAUGAAAGAGCUCAAAAUGUUUUACUAACCUCAAGUCUCUCAAACCGUUUACUAAGAGUGGACACCCCCAGCAUCACCUCCUCAGCCUCUUCCACCCGUUUAGUUAGCCUCUCGAGCUCCUCCUGCACACCUAUCACCCAAGGCUGACGAUAAUGGAGCCCAUCAGCCUUGGUUUUAACAUCAAGAAUCAUCAGAUAUACAACUUACAAUAUAGAACAUAAAGAUUGAUGAGAUUAUGAUAAACAGAGGAGACUUUACCUCGUAGUUUCUGCAGGUGAAGAACCGCUUCCCAGGAAGAGUGUCGUAGUCCUCCUCCCCGCGCACCUCGUUUAUGAGUCUCCCACCACACGGACACCUUUUAGGAAUACCGUACUCAGAAUCCGCCACGAAACUUAACAUGUUGAUGUGUUCAUGUUGCUUCUUUGAAUGUCUUCUAUCUUCUUCCGGAUCCAUCUGUCAAAUAAAUCAAGAUUUUGUUAAAUAAUUACUCGUAAACCACUAUCACGAUCUGCAACCAUAAACCUAUCACUCCAUUUAACCCAUAAAACGAAACCAAUCACUCAAUUUAUAAACCCAUCACUCACCCAUAAAACGAAACCGUAAUUGGAUUUCAAAUCUCUGCAAAAAUAACCCAAAAACAAAAAACAAUCACGAUCUACAACCCUUGAUCGAAACCCAUAUGACGAUUUAGAUCCCUAACUCGAAACCCCCAAAAAAUUUACAAAAUCGAAUAAUUGCUUCCCACCCCAAAAUCGACCCAAUAAAGCUAUAAACCUACAAGGAACUCACCUACGCUGGUGGAGAGAAGAGGACGUCGUCGAUUACGUCGAGAAAAACGCCGGGAAUCGUCGUCGCACGAUAAGUCGCCUCUCACGGUGAAACCCUAGUUUUUCAGAGAAAGGGGAAAAUGAGAAGAAACAAGACGUGGCCCGACUUUCCUCCUCGUCAACGCGGAACGCUUGACCAACCAGCGUACGCCGCGUGGCAACAUCCGCCCCUUACGGGUUCAUGCGCAAGGCCCGUUUCAUCAAACUUAUCGAAUUUUUUUUUUUUUUUAAACCAACGGGCCUAAGAUUUCGAGCCCACGAACCUCUCUUAAACCGCUAAUGCGGAUGGUCUAACAACCGCAAUGUGCCCACGAUUCAUAUGAUUGAAAAGAUGAAGUCGUAGUACACCAAAAAACAAUCUAAGAAGGUCUUGAAUGGUUAAUUUAACUAAUGCUACACUUCCUAACACAGAGAAAUGAAACGUCAAUGAUUUAGUUCUUGAACAUUGUGUAUAUAGUUCAUGAUGUGGUAAGAAUUUCUGCACCAGAUUCGGUGAUUAGAAUCGUAUGUUCAAACUGUGCAGCCGGACCACCAUCUGCUGUCAGAAUUGUCCAUUUGUCCGGCCAUGUUACAAACUCUGUGGUUCCAAUGGUGAGAAUUGGUUCUGCAAACAAAGGAAACAAUCAAUUCAUUAAAAGAAUACAUAAUGCAUUCAUUCAAGUUCCAUAAGAGAAAGAUCAAUCACCAAGCGUAAACGUUUGGCCUUCAAUCAUAUAGCCAAUUUCAAAAUCAUCUGCAGAAAAAAAAAAGACAGUUUCUUCAGUGAAACUCCACCGUUAAGAAGACUUCUUGAAGAAGCCUUGCGGUGUUACUUACAGUUUUUGUGGAGAUAUAUAAGAGGCUCCGAAUGUAAUACAGUUCCUACACCAUGCCCUAUAAAGCGCUCCAUGUUAUAGCCAUGCUUUUCAGCAGCAUGCUCACUGUUGAAAACUGGAAGAUCACUGAAACUGCGUAUUGAAACAUGGAUAGUACCUACUAUUAAACUACCUGAUGAUCUUCCCAAUUUCGUUGAAGCUUGCUCCAUCUCUACAAACCGAUAUACCCUUCUCCAAGCAUUCUUCUGUGACUUUCACAAGUUGUAUAAGACUCUCAUCGACAUCUCCACAGAGGAAAGUCUUAGACGUAUCUCCAUGAUAUCCCUGAUUAAAAAAAGAGUUACACACACAAGGAUAAACUUGAAUGAAUAUUAGCCAAAGAAAAGAAGCAUGAAGACUUACAUCCAAGUAGACUGCCACAUCUAUGUUUAUAAUAUCACCAUCCUAAAAAUUAAACAAGGGUUUAAUUAUUGAUUAUAUUGAUUCAUUCUUACAGAAGCAGUUUCAUACUCCAAACCUGUAGCUGACGAGAGUCUGGGACGCCAUGAAACAUGCAUUCAUUCACUGAUGUACAAACACUCUUUGGAAAUCCACCGUAACCAAGAGGUGAAGGGUAAGCACCAGACUCAAUUACCAUCUUGUGCACUGCUUUGUCGAUUUCAUCUGUUGUAACAAAUGGCUGCAAGCAUCAUUUUUAUAAGCAUAGCCAGAGAGACCCACAAGAGAAAACGCUAAUCUUUACUUACUUUAACUAAAGUUCCUGCGUAGUUUAACACACGAGCAGCGAGCUCGCACGCUGCUUUCAUUUUAACGAUGCCGUUGGAGUCAGGAAACUGAUGUUCACUUGAUAUCUUUGGUGGCUCGCUAGAUUCAAGAUAUGGAGCUUUUGGUAUGUGAUCAGGAACAUGAAGACGAGGGGAGACUCUUCCACAUACUAGAGGUGCGUUUCUUUUGACUUGCAAUGUGUUUUGAAGUUCUUGAAUUCUUGAAAACACACAUCAAAAUUGAAAUAUAAAUGUAGAGAAAAAAUAUAUUAUUAUCAUUAUUUUAAGUUUAUAAACCAAUGUUUUCGUACAUUAAAAUAAAUAAUAAUAAUGAAUACCUGCUUAUUCUAGGAGAGAAUGAUGACUUCUUCUUCUUGACUGCAACAAAAGAAGAAGAAACAUCAAACUUAAUUACACAUAAUUCAAUUUUCUCGAAACAAACAAAAAAAAGUGGAGAGCAACAGUAACGGCAAACCUGACAGCAGGAGAGAGGAUAAGUUGGCAGGAGCUCCGGCGAAGUAUAUCGGCGGCGUUAACUGACCGCCGUUAAAUAAAGAAUGGGAUUGAGAAAUUCCGAACGACAUUUUCGCUGGCACAUUCUAAAAAAAAAACAAAAAGGUAUAAAUUAUAACUUUGAGAGACGAUUUUAAUGGGCCUUAAACAAAAAGGCCCAUUUUAGUUACGAAAUAGACCCACACACAGAAAUACUCAUCAUCAGAUGACUAUAGAUGAUUUGAUAUCAAAAUGUCAGACAUUUCAGAACUAUUGGGAUUCAUUUGAAAGUUGAACAAAAAAAAUGCUACCCACGCAUAUAAUUCAUAGGAGUAUUAGAAUAAAAUUAAAUAUACAAAAAGAAUAUAAUGAUCCACUAAUAAUAAACUAAUUCAUGUUUUCUAUUGUGUAUUUUCUGUUUCAUAUCUACUUGUAAAAAUUGUUUUUCACGUGUUUAAACUUUUUUGCUGGAAAAGUUUCUACCAACUUUAACUUUGUUUUACAACUUAAAUAAUAAAUCAUGUCGACAACAAGUAGUUAAGAAAAAAAUUUUAAAAACGUUUUUUUCCCAGGAAAUUACAGAAAAACAAACCAAAGAGAAAGAGUUAAAUUGUAGUUACAAGGCGUUGCUUUUUAUUACACCUUAAAGACAGCAUCUCCGUUUCUUCCUUCAUUACGACAUCACUUUGAGACUUCAAAGAAGUAAUGUCAACGCCGAAUAAUCUCACGACCACCCGACCCGUAUCUUGAUCCGACUCGGAUUUCGAUUUCCACCCAAUAUACAACUGUUGAUCCUGACCGUUGGAUCUUUUAAAACUGAUCAAAUCACCGGCACACAAUCUCUUCUCUUUAACGAACCUGCUCCAACCUUUAGUCAACACAUAGCUUUGACUACUAUUCCAAUACGAGUAACGGAACCUCCACACUUUUCCGUUAACGUCCUCGAAAUUUAACAGCGUCCCUCUCACGGAGACGUCUCCUGAUAACGGUAACGGAAAAUGUUUCUCCGCUUGGUGUUUCGGUAUCACUAAACGGUUUAGCUUCCCGACGUCACUUGGCGUUACCGCUUUCUCAAACAGAGUCUCCGCCGUUUUAAACCCCGUCGCUACCCUAACGGCAGCAAACGCCGUCUCUUUCGUGUUUCCCUUACCGUGUAGGUUACGUUUCCUCUGCUCUAACUCCUCUUUGUAUGUAUGUUUUCUCAACAUGUCAACGAUCUCAGCUUUCGAAUGUGCGUUCAAGAACUCGACUUCGUCUCCGUUACCUAACGUCGUGUCGGCCUUGAAGUUCGUGACGGCGUCACGGCCGCGGAAACGGUGAGCUGCGACGUCGUAAGCACGAGCAGCUUCUUCUUCUUCGUUGAAAGUGCCGAGCCAGACUCGCUGGUGCUUCUCGUAAAUCUGAGCUCCCCAUCUUCCGUUCGGCUGAGGGACAACGCCUUUGAAUCUUGACGACGGGAGCUUUCUUGAUUCGGCUUCGACGCCGUUCUCAGAAUCCAGAACCACGCUUGAUCCGCUUCCCAUUCUGUAUAGACUCGCCGGAGAUGGCGACUUUCUUGCCGUCGCCGGAGGAAUCUUUGCCGGAGUAUGAACCGAAUCUGUACUUGUUGAGCUCUCGUCAACACUACUUGCUGCGUCCAUUUGUUUUCUUUCUUUUAAAAUUUGAUUAAGAAAUGUAAAAAUCCACAAGAAUAUUGUGAAAUUUGAGAAUGGAGAGAGAUUAAUAACACGCGUAUGAAACUGAAAUGUAUGUGCGAAUGAGUGUGAAUAUAACGUGUAUAUAUAGAGAGACAAGAGGGAAAUAAGAAAACAUCAAGUGCAUGUAUGUAUUAAUAUUCUUUUCUUUUUUAAAGAUUUAUGUAUUAACAUUCUAAAUUUUAUUUUCUUUCCUUUUAUUAGUUGUAGUAUGUUUUAACUAGGGCUAGGCAAAUAAACCGAACCUGAUAAUCCGAACCGAAUCCGGUCCGAUAAAAAUGAAUCCGAACCGAUCCAAACCCGACGUAAAUACUGAAUGGAUCUUGUUUUGUGGUAUUUUGGGUUAUGGGUAUUAUCCGAACCGAACCCGAAUCUAAAUGGAUAUCCGAUAGAAUCCAAAACAUUCAAAACCUCGAAAAUAAUUUGUACCAAACAUGAUCUCAAUUCCUAAUAUGUAUCUAAAAUACACUAAGAAAUAUUGAACAUCUAAAAUACUUAUCUAUUACAUGAAGGUUGAUGGUUCUAUUACAUAAAUAUUGGUGGUUCUAUUACAUGAAGGUUGAUGGUUGAAGAUGGCCGUUGAAUCUUGAAGUAUUUAGAUUUAGAUUUUGUUUUCGUUAAACAAUGUUUCUCAUUUCAUGAGAAUUUAGUUUUCAUUUUAUGCUUUUAUUUAUUUGGUUUUCUUUUUAUCAGUAAAUAUUUUUACUUUUCGUUUGAUUUUGAAUGAUCAUGGUUGAUGUUUCUUAUUUUUGAAUCGAUUUUACUUAAGUUUUGGUUACAAAAUAGGUACAAAUCAGGUAUUUUAAAACUGAAGAACCAUUUUUACUCAUGUUUUGGUUAUAAAAUAGGUAAAAAUCAGGUACUUUUAAACCAAAAAACCGAUUGGGAUCCGAACCCGAAAGUAUAUUGGGUUGUGCCGGUUCUUUGAAGAUUUACUAACCCCGACCCGAACCCGAUAGAACCCGAACCGGUCCCGAAUCGAACUUUUAUAUAAUCCGAAUGGGACUGAUUUUGAUAAAUCCGAAAAACCGAAAUCCGAUUGGGACCCCAAAUGCUCAGGCCUAGUUUUAACUUUUAAGGAGAUAAGUAUGUUCCAAAAAAAAUUCACAUUUUCAGAACUGGUUUUGCUAGAUGACGCAUGAAAUCUUAAGACAACUUAAUAAUCGUCUAUUAGUUUGAAAAUAUAUAUUUUAGCGUUAUAUAAUUAUUCAGCAUAACCUUGUUGCCAAUGAAAAACUGUUUCACUAUUUAAUUGCUAUGCUAUUUUUGCAUUCCAUAUUUUCUUUGACGUAACAAUAUCUCCAAGGUUUGCUAUGUCAGAUUUGCUUUUUCAAUCUCGCAAUUAAGCUAAUCCCCAAAUUUUGGAUAUCCUAAGUUGGCUAUCAAUUUUCAAAACUACACUAAAUCAAAAAUAUUCUAACAUUAGGUUUAGGAUAUACUGAUUAUUGUAAAGUAUUUUAGUAUUUAGAAGGUGAGAAUUAAGUUUAUAAACUUGCAUAAAUAUUUCAUUAAAUAAUUUUAAAUAUCGAUAAGAGUUAUUUUAAUUCUUAAUUACAAUAUUUGUGAAAAUAUGGUUAUUUUUGAAGAAUAAAUUCUAAAAACGUUCAAAUUUACCCCACCUUCGAAUAAAUAUCCUAGAGAAAGGAGAGUGUUUUUUUUUUCUAUAUUGUCUCCCUCUCCCCCCACUCAUCCUUAACCUAGCCUUGCUCUCUCCGUUUCUGGCGGUUAAGACCAUGUUUAUUGGGGUAGCUUAGGUGGGGUGCUUAGGGGAUUGGCUUAGAAAAAAAUAAUUAAAUAGUCGGUGGGACCCAUAGUGGGGCCCACAAAAAAUUAACAACCAUUGCUUCAGUUGUCUGAUUAAGCGUCGUUGUUUACCCUGUUUCGCAAGCUCCACUGACACGUGGAAAUCCGCGAUUGGUCAAGUCUUUAAUUUUUUUUUAAGUUUAGUCAGGAAAAAAAAAUUUAAGCACCCUAAAAGGUUACUGCCAAUAAACAUGCUCUAACGGGGUCUUUCUAACCAUCAACCUCCCACCCUUUCAUCCGCUUCAUCCGCUUCAUCAGCUUUAGUUUCUCCCAUGUCCCCUAUGUUUCCGAGGGGAGUAUGUGAGGUAGUGUGUAGCAGAUCAAGCACAUGGUCCAUGUUCUCUCUAUAUGUUCUGAAACGCCAAUAUCGGAUAAGGGUCACAUAUGUCUUUCAAAAGUGUGGAAUGGUAGAUCUAGAGCGUCGCUGCCUCUCCUCUGCUCCAACUCCGCCUUUUUUUUUCUGUUGCCCUCACUUCUCGUAGAUUAAAGGUUUUCUAGAGCCGCUCCUCGGAGACUCCAUCUUUCAGUGUGUGGCGGAGCUGAGACACUCCGCUGAGGGCCUCUGUCAUUAUCAAGCUCUCCUAAAACUUUUCAAGAUGUUUCAUCAGUCGUCGGCUGCCUUCUCUGCCUUUAUUUGGUGUGUGGGGGGUUUGGGGGCUUUACUAGUGAGUGGCAGAAUUUAGCCGCAAACUUACUGCCUGCUUCGCCGGAAAAUUUCAUGUGUUUAUUUGGUCUGGGGUAUAAGUUUGGGAUCAGACCUAAAGACUUUUUAACUUGUGCUCUCUGGAUCUUGAUUUGUUUGGAGUAAACUCACUGAUGCCAAUGGUCAGGACGGAGUAGUCAACCACCUCUUUAUUUACGGGUCCAUCUCUGAUGUUAUCCUGGUGAGGAUUUGAAUUCCUAGUUCUAGCUUUGUUUUUCUAGAACUUGUUAGACUUUGUUAAGUUUGUAAGUGUGUUUUACUUACAAGGCAGAAUGGGAUCCAAGGUAAAACUUGCACCAAUUGUUUAUUUUCAUAAAUGAUAUUUAUAUUCUUAACAACAAAAAAAAAAAAUUGAAAGAUGUUAGCAAAAAAAAUAUAUGAAUAUGUUGUGGGCUGCAUGGGAAAUGGGACCAACAAGUGGGCUCCGGAUGGUUAAAAGAGGUUCACAUGAGAAAUUGAAUAUUGCGUUAGUAAAGUUCAUUCCCCCUGGUGAUUUUGAUAUGCUUAUUUACAAGUUCGGUGUUCAAAAGAAAUAACUUAUUAUAAUCAUAUAACUAGUAGGAUUCACUGUUACGGUUUUAUUUCUUUCUCACUGAUACUUAAAUAUGUUUCUUUUUCAAAUCUCAAUGAGUGUUACAUGCAUGGGGAAUCUUUUGCAAGCAUGAAUCAUCCAUGUAUAUAAAUGCGAUGGGCAAUGCUUAUGUUUAUUCCAUUCUUCGUAUAUUUCUUAAGCAUCUUUGUUCCGUUUUAUUUUCUUCUACUAGUAUGGGGGAGCAUGCGUAUGAUGUGUGUAAAUGGAUGGGAACGUAAUAUAAAAAAUGGCAGAGUAAUAAAGUGAGCGAAGUGAGAUUUGUGAGUUGUGAUUACUUAUAUUUAUGGCAUGGGGAAUUAACAUUUUCGACGAACAGAAAACCGACACGUGGACUGAAAAAUAGGCUGUCACGUAGUUAGUUUGGACUCACUCCUAUAUAAUUAAAAAAACAUGAAUACAAUUAGAUAUGGUUUAUGUUUUUUGUAAGCUAUAACCUGAUUUCUGCCCGUAUGAUUAGUUUAUAUGAAAUAAAUUGUUGUAAUUGUCAACUUAAAAAUUUAAGCUGCUUAUAUUAUUUAACUAGCGAUUUGAUUGGUUCAAACAUAGUCUUCAAACAUUUUUUUUUUGCAAACUGAAACAGAGCAUUCUUCGUACGCUGGUUCAUUACAAACACAAGAGAUAAAUUUAAAGGAGAUAUAGGUGAAGGAGCUUCUCAACACGCUAAUAUCAUGGAGAAUUCUUCGGAAUGCGAUCACAAACUUGUUUCAUGUAAUCGUAUCAAUGAGACAUCUAGAAUCUGAACAACAGAUUAUGUCUUUGAGACCAGCAGAGACGGCCUUCGACAAGCCUUUUUUCAUCGCUAACACUUCUGCUACUAGAGCUGAAGCUAUAUAGCGCCGAGCAUCGGUUCCUUGGAAUCUUUCAUUUCCUGCUGAGUAUGUACAAACCCAACUCAGACCACCUGCAGAAGAAGUUCCAUUCCAAGCAGCAUCAGAGUAAACAAAGCUCACUUUCGUUGGAGCCUGAGGUAGAGUGUUCUGAUUGGUUUUGUUGAUAUCACCUGUUUGUGGAUGGUAAGAAUUAUUAGUAUGCUUCGUAUCGCUUCGUACCACUAUAAAUUAAAAGCUUAUUCUAGCUAGUGUUUACAAACAUUUACGUAAUGAUUGAGUUAAAACAAUUGAUAAAAGAAAAUUCUUUGUUUAUAACUUUUAAUUUAAUUUUUAAUCUCUAUAAUAUUAUUUGAAAAAUCAGUUUGUUAUGUAGUAUUAUGUUCCCAUCUUAAUUGGAUAUAUGAUUUCAUAUAUAAUAUUUUGUAUAGUUUCAAAUACUUAUUUUGUGUUAAAUUAUAUCUAUUAUUUUAAAUUAAACAAAUCAUAUUAAAACUGGACUAUUAUUUUCUUAAUUUCAUGUAGCUAAUUAAGUUCAUUUUCUUAUAUUUGUAAAUAUUUUGGUAUUUUUUGUAUAAAUGGGUAUAUAUUGUUUUAGAAAAUAGGAAACAUAAAUAUUAAAUCAGAAUUGCAUUAAUAAACAUAACUUGUAAUAUUUUGAAAAUUCAUACACCAGAUCACUACUACACACUAAAUCUUAAUAAUUGUUUGAUUUGAUUUUUCAUAAUUUAGUAUAUUGAAUUGUAUCAAUUUUCUUAUCACAAUUUGUUUUUAGUUACAAUUAAACUAAAAUAAGCUCAUCUUGUUACUUUUAUCUUAGGAUGAAAAAUAUAUUUUGUAAGAUUGUGUAUAAUUUGCUAUAUGAUGUUUUCCAUAAAAUUAAAAAAAUUGAAGUGUUAAUAAAUUUUGUUAUGAAAAUUCUAAUCAUUCAAUAUAAAAUAUAUUGAUAAAUAAGAAAUACUAUUUAUAUUGUUGUAGCCUCACGUUAUAAAAUAUUUAUUUGGUUUUAAAAUAAUCAUAAGAUAUAAUAAUUUUGGAAAAAAUAAGAUAUUAAAUAAUCAUUUAUGUUUUUCCAAAUUAUUUUCUUAUUAAUAAUUAGAUCAAAAGAUAUUUAUAAUAAAAUUAUUAUUAUUAUGUUUUAGAAAAAUAUAACUGAAUUAUUAUAUUUUUAAGUUUUUUUGAAGUUAUUUUCAUAUAUAUUUAUAAGUAUACAUUUUUAAAAGUUAUUGAAUUUUUAUUUUUGUUGUAGGAAACAUAAAGAAUAAAAAAAUCAAAUUCGCUUUUAUAUAAAUGUCUAUAUUUAUAUUUUAUAAUUUUCCUUUUUGUUAUUUAUGUGUUUUAAUAAAAAGGAAAAUUACAUUAAAAAGUUAAUCACAGUUUUAUUAAGAAAAAUGAAACAUAGAUAAUUGUUAUUAAUGGAAAUCACUAAUAAUAAAAAAAUUGAAAUCACUAACAAUAUUUUUAAUUCAUUAAAGGUUUAAGUGUAAUAAAACACCGUGAUAGUUAACGUGAGCGCCACACAUAAUAAACUGACUUCUAUUAAAUAAUCAUUUAUGUUGUUCCAAAUUAUUUUCUUAUAUUAAGAAACCGACUUCUCAAAUAAUAUUAUAGAGAUAUUUUCUUAUAUAUUCAUUCAACAAUAUCAUACUUUAUAUUAUAAGAGCGUUUAAUCAAACAUAUUUGCUAUAAAAAAAUUCAAAAUUAAUAUAUAUAUACAUAUAUAUAAUAUAAACAAAUAAUCUGAAAGAAUUAAUCUCCAUAAAAUAAGUAUUUUUAUACUAAUAAUAAUAUUUUAGUGUUUUAUAAUUAUACAAUGUGUUAGUAUUUUUAAGUUAUUACUAAAUCGUUGUAGCUAAUAAGAUAGUCGACUAGUUAUAAAUAUUAAAUGCACUCAUUUCUAAAAGUUGAACUAAUCGCACAACUACAUGCAUCCGCAAACUCAUGCAAUCAACUCUGCAACCACUCCAUUUAAGCUAGUUAGACCCUCACUUUUCAAGAGGAAUUGUGUUUUCAUUUAUAUAUUAUAAUUAGUUGACUUUCUAUUUCCAAUAAACUUGAAAGAAGGGUUAUUUAUUUUUAUCUAUUUUUUAUAGAUAGAUAGCUAGAAUUUAUAUAUUUUUCAUAACAUGUAAUACUUUGUUUAUUUCAACUGAUAUCUUUUAAAAGAUAUAUUAAAAUAUAAUUUGAAUGAUUUAUAUUUUAAUGAAUUUUUGAAAAAUUACAUAAACUAACAUUUUUUUAAUACCACUUUUUAUGUUUAUUUUAAUCAUAUUUAACUUUAGUUUUAAAGAAGAUAAAUAGACAUUUAUGCCCCUAAGAUUAACUAUUAUAGAAUUAGGGUUUGGAUUUGAGGGAGAGUCUUGAAGGGUGGAGUUUAGAAUUAAAAAAAAAAACUAAAAAUUAAAAAACUAAAAAUUUGAAUAAUAGUUUUAAAAAUAAUUUUCAAAUUUCAAAAAGAAAAAAGAAAAAUAAAAAUUAGAAAAAGAAAAAUAAUUGAAUUUUCUUUUUGAAAAAAAUAGAAAGAUAAAUAAAAAAUUAUAAAAAAGUUUGAAUUAUAAAACUUAUAAUUCUAUAAUUACUAAAAAAAUUUAUUUUUAUAUUUUUAUUAUUUAAAUAACUAUUUAUAUUUAUGUAUCUAUAAAAAAAUGAAAUAAAACUCUUUUGCUAAUUUAAUGAAGAAAUUAUUUAUUAAAAUGUUCAUUUCCGUUGCAUUUUGGUAGCGAGCUAUUUUAGAACAUUCUCUUUAUAAAUCCAAACGUGAAUACCCGGCCCAAGAGUCAAUUAAAUAUAUACUACGUGAUUAUCACAUAAAUAUUCAGAAAAUAAUCAAAUCACAAUAAUUGUUAAAUAUUCUCUUUCAUUGUUUAUAAAUUUUAAGUAAUUUUAUAAUUUAAAUUUAUGAUGAAAAAAUAAUUUUUUAUUAAAUAUCAUUAUGUUUUUAUCCGUGAAUAUAAAUAUUUACAAUACUUUAUAAAUUAUAAAUCAUUUUAAUUUAUAUUAUUAAAAAUAAUAUUAUAUUAAAUAUCAUUAUGUUUUCAUCUUAUUUAGACAUAUAAUUUCAUUUAUAAUAAUUUGGAUCAAUUCAUAUAUAGUAUGUUGAGCUUUAUAUAAACUUUUAAAUUAAACAACAUUUUUUAAUUAAAUUAAUAAUGAAUUAUUAUAUAUGUAGCUUAUUAAUUUUAGUUUGGUUCAUCCUCUUAGAGUUCUAAGUAUAUUUUAUAAAUCUUAUAAAAUUAGAAUAUAUUGCUUCGAAAAAUAGGAAACAAAAAUAUAAUGCUGUAGUUACAUUACUAAACAUAAUCUAUAAUAUAUUAAAAAGUCAUGUACAUAUAUAAAUAUUAUAAAAUAACUAAAUUCUAUUAAUUCGUUAAUAACUUGUUUAGAAUUCUGAAGAUAUUUUAUAUUUUAUAUCUAUGAAAAUUAAUUAAAUAUUUUUUAAUAAUUUUGUAUUUUUCUUAAUUAGGUAUUUGAUUGGAGAGAUAUGAUAUUAAAUGAUUUGUCUGAAAUUAUUUUUAAUUAUUCGAUAAAAAUAUAAUAAUAAUAAAAUAAAUAUUGUAAAAUAAAUUAUCUAAACUAUUUUAUGUUGUCAAAUGUUUUAAAAAUUAUGUUAUAUAUAAACCUUUAUAUUUGAAACUUUAUAAAUAUUUUUUUAUACUUUCAAAAAAUAUAAAGUAAAUUAAAAUAUUUUUAUAUAUACAAAAUUCAUAUAUUCAUAAAUAUUUCGUUUUAUUAUUCAUGUGAUUUUCUAUUAAAAAACAGUAAAUCAAAAUUCAAAAGUGAAUUUGAAAAUUUUAUUGAAACAUAAUAAAAUUGGUUUUAGCAGUGAUAAUGAGAUAUACUUUUAAUUCACAAAGAAUAUUCAUGAAACUGAUUUUUGCGAGAAUUAGGGAGUGAUUGGUAAGUGUUGUGAGUGUUUUUUAUAUCUCAUUUCUUUUCUACUUCUACUUUAAUUUACCAAGUUUUUAACAAAUAAUUUAAAGCUACAGAUCUAAACUAAAUAUGAAAUAAAUGGUUUUGAAAACUAAUUUUUCUAGAGUUUUAUAUUUAGUGCUUUGAAAGUUAUUAUAAUAAAAUCUACAGUUACAUAGUAAUAAAAUAUACAGCUACUAUUCUAAAUCAAAAAAUUAAAACUACAACAUUUGCCAAUCUCUUUUGACCGGAAGGGGAUAAGUAGGAAGCUGAAUUUUCAAAUAAUAGUAUAGAGAUGGUUUUUUUUAAUCGAUAUUAUAGAGAUGAUAUUUAUCGAUGGAAUGUGAUAAAAAGGAAAAGGAAAUCUUUAUCCACAUUAACUGUUUGGAUUAGCUUAAAUCCUUCUGAGAUUAUCUUCACUUCUUUAGUGUUAGACAUCAUAUACAUAACAACCAAUAGCUUAGUAGUUGCGACGUAAAACUUGGUCAGUUGGAUAUCAAUUAUAAAUUAGCCCCAAAAUGAACUAAAGUAGUAUGAAAUUAGGUAGGAGAUUUUUUUUUUAAAAAAACGCUCCCAGGCACUUCUCCCGAGAGACUUUUGAAAGUUGAAUUCUAACUAAGAUCCACCGUAGCUCGCACCUUCUCCGUCGGCCAGACUACUGUACACCACCGCACCUACUUUCCGGCGAAGACUUUUUUAGCACUUUCCGGCUCCCUGGAGCCAGAGCUUCUUCCUGACGUUCUCACAUCAAAGGUCCGAUGGUCCAAUUGAUGCAGAUCUGGAAAGGAGAAUGCUUAGCUAACUGCCAAGAACUUAAGGUUGUCUCCCUCCCAGGGAACAAGCUUUAAUGUGCUUGUGCAUUUACUCAACCGUAUACUGUCUACUGCAGUUUUUACCUUGUGCCUAAGGUUUACCCCUCUUUAAGAAUUUCUACCGUCUACUGCGGUUCUGUAUUUUACUCCAAGAUCCGUCUUUACUCUGUAUUCAUGACUCAACGUAUGUCACGGGUGGAAAAAGAGAAAUGGAUGGCUGACCCACCAAUGAAAUCUCGAAGACCACCAAUUAAGAUCCCCGAAGGGAAUAACAGAGCUCUGAUUGAAGAAAACCGGUUUACUCUGAUAGGCCGUGUUACAAACCCGCACAUCCAAAAGACCCGAGCUCUGGUUGACUUUUUCCUCCAACACUGGAGGGUGCAAGGAAAUUUUACUGGGAGAGCGCUAGGACCAAGUAUGUUCCAAUUCAAGUUUGAGUCGGAACACGAUCUAAAUGAAGUCCUCUCUCAAGCACCUUUCCACUUUAAGAGAUGGAUGAUGAUUCUUCAACGCUGGGAACCUAUUGUCUCUGACUUUUUUCCAGCGUUGAUCCCCUUCUGGAUCACCAUACAUGGUUUACCUCUUCACUACUGGACAAAAGAAGCACUGGAAUCUAUUGGAACCGAGCUGGGGCCGGUCGAUGGUUUUGAUGUGGACCAGGGAAGAGUUCGUGUGCUGAUAAAUGGCUUAAAACCACUUGAAAUGAUUCUAGAGGUCAGCACACCAUCAGGUGAACUAAAACAAGUGGAGCUUGAGUAUGAAGGCUUACAAAAGCACUGCUUUGUAUGCCAUUCGCUCUCACAUGAAAAGGAAGAUUGUCCUUCCCGUCACCAAACUCUCAGGAACUCCACUCCUUUUGGUAUCUCUCAAACGCGGACGAGAGAAAGGCUUGAAGCAGACAGAAGACGCCAAGCUGAGAGAAAGCAAAUACGACCAGUCUCUGAGCACCAAAUCACUGGAAACAACCCAAAGCCUUGGCCAAGGGGCUCGGAUAGAGUCUCUUCUCAUGCAACUGACUGGAGCCAGGACAAAAAUUUUAGAUUCACUUAUGGAGCAAGAAGAGACCCACUCUGUCAGACUACUCCCCAUGGAUCAAACCCCUCCCAAGAGCCACGCCAACCAGUCAAAGCAAGACUAUCUUUCUCUAGAGAUAGUGCUGUCACUCCCCGAGGUGCAUCUAAUUCUCGAGUCAAUCUGACACAAAGGAAUGAAUGGAGACCGAUUGUAAGGGAAUCGCAGAUAGAGUCUGGAUCCAGGACUGCAAACCCCCAGGUUUCAAAGUCAGUGAACUCCCACACCUCGCACACUCCAUCCCCUCGACCAGCAAGAGAAGGUGAUUCUCGUUUGAAACGAGUCACUCCUUCCACAAGUCACAGACCAGAGGAGGGAAGUGAACCAUCACACGAACGGAGGUCCGCUCUAGAACGACUCUCCUUAUCUCAUGAAAGGAUCCCGUUACUACAGGAUGGAGUUGCAAAUUCUGAGUCAGGAAGACUUCAAGAAGUCGACAUUCAGUACCUGGAGGAAACUGCACCUCGUCUGCAACCUGUAGAAAGAUCCAUACCUUCUAGUUCUCGUAACCCGAUCUCGCAGAUUCCUGAACACUACGAUCCAAGUCAGGAUAGAUCUCCGAUAAGGACACUAAGUGAAGAUAGGUUACAUGUCUCCUUGAGACUAGGGCCUCUACGAGAUACAAAUAUAGAAGAGGAAGAGGACAAUGUUCUCCCGAGGAAAGAAUCUGCCUUAAAACGUCUGGCAUCUACAAUCUCUAGAGUAGACAAAGGCAAAGGGAAAAUGCUACCUCAAACUAAGAAGCGGGUCUGUAGAAGCCCUAUUCAAGGUGUUAGUCUGAAGCGACGCAGAGUUACACGCUCGCAGAACUCACCACGAAGGAAGCUACUCCAUGAUGCCAUAAGAAGCGGUGCAACGAAUACUAGAGGAGUAGGAAGCACACAGCCACGUACUACAAUCAUACCGCCAACGAAGAAGAAGGGAACGGAUUUUCGGUCCGGUCCAAAACCUCUUCCUUAGUCUCUAUGAGCUGGAACUGUCAAGGUAUAGGGAGCGACCUGACAGUUCGUCGUCUACGGGAGUUCCGAUCCAAAAACUCCCCGGAUAUUAUGUUCCUGAUGGAAACAAAGCGACAAGAUGAAGAGAUCUACAAGAGCUACAAGGGCACUGAUUUUAAAAAUCUAUUCACAGUUCCACCAGUUGGAAUGAGCGGAGGACUUGCCCUAGCUUGGAAAGAUAAUGUUGAGAUUGAAAUCCUGUUCUCCUCGCCGAAUGUAAUCGAUACAAAAAUAGUUUUUAAUAAUAAAACUUUCUUUGUAUCGUAUAUAUAUGGGGCACCAAACAGAGAGAAUCGGCCCAAGUUUUGGGAAUUCAUGGCGGACCUUGGAGCUCAUCGGUCAUCAGCCUGGUUGAUCACUGGGGAUUUCAACGACUUAUUAGAUAACUCCGAGAAGGUGGGAGGACCCGUAAGGUGGGAAGGAUCGUUCCUAUCCUUUAGGAACUUUGUUUCACAAAAUGGCCUAUGGGAUCUCCAGUUCUCGGGGAACUCACUCUCAUGGAGAGGCACUAGGUACUCUCAUUUCAUUCAGUCGCGCCUAGAUCGUGCAAUGGCGAACUUAGAUUGGAUGGAAAUGUUCCCGACAGGCCGGAGUGAGUAUCUACGGUUUGAAGGUUCCGAUCACCGGCCACUGCUCACUCAUUUUGAUUUACAUCUGAAAAAGAAGAAAGGCAUGUUUCGGUACGACCGGAAUCUCAGCAAAAAACCGGAAAUUAGAAACUUGGUUGAAGAAGCCUGGAACCAGGACAACUCGGAAUCAGUACUCACCAAGAUAAAUCGGGUCAGGAGGAAUCUGGUUGAAUGGGCAAAACAACAGACGAAAGCCUCAAAGGAGUGGAUCUGUUCCAACCAGAACUUGUUAGAAGAAGCGCUCUCUGCUACCAACCCGAAGAAUGAACUCAUUGACUCCCUCAAACAGAUUUUGGCUAAAGCUUACGAAGAAGAAGAAUCUUUCUGGCGCCAACGCAGUCGGAUUCAAUGGCUAAAUGAAGGUGAUAAGAAUUCGGGUUUCUUCCAUGCUGUAACUAGGGGUCGGCGAGCCUGCAAUAAAUUCUCUGUGGUGGAAGACGAGGCUGGACAGGCUUUCUAUGAGGAGAGUCACAUUGUCUCUGCCUUUGUAAACUUCUAUCAGACUCUCUUCACAACAGGUUACAUGGAUGCCAGCAGUGUAGUAAACGAAGCGCUGAUACCAAAGAUUUCACCAGAGAUGAAUCAGGCUUUGAUCGCACUACCCGACAAAGAGGAAGUUCAAGCUGCAGUCUUCUCAAUUCACCCCGAUAAGGCACCAGGGCCGGAUGGUUUCUCAGCCGGGUUCUACCAAGCUUUUUGGGAUGUGAUUGGGGAUGACAUCUACCGGGAUGUUAAAAAGUUUUUUGAAACAAGACAGCUCCCUCAGCGACAAAAUGAGACACACGUUAGGCUGAUUCCCAAGAUAACGGGUGCAAAGAAAGUCUCGGACUAUAGGCCUAUAGCGUUGUGCAACACGCAGUACAAGAUAGUUGCAAAGAUUCUCUCAAAAAGACUCAAACCACUACUAAACGAUCUGAUAUCUCCGUCUCAAUCAGCGUUUGUGGCGGGCCGGUCAAUCUCCGACAAUGUGCUAAUCACACAUGAGAUGCUACACUUUCUUAGACAGUCGGGUGCGAAAAAAUAUGUCUCUAUGGCGGUUAAAACCGAUAUGAGCAAGGCCUACGACCGGAUUGAGUGGGAAUUUUUGCGUUUAGUGCUUCAGAAACUUGGUUUCCACGAGAUUUGGAUAGAAUGGGUGCUGGAGUGUGUCUCUUCGGUCUCAUAUUCGUUUCUCAUUAACGGCGGGCCGCAAGGGCGGGUCAUGCCAUCCAGAGGACUCCGACAAGGAGAUCCACUAUCUCCUUAUCUGUUUAUCCUCUGCACCGAGGUACUCUCAGGACUGUGCGAUAAAGCGCUAGCAAAUGGUAGCUUCCCGGGGAUUAAGGUCGCACGGAACUGUCCACCAAUAAACCAUCUACUGUUUGCCGACGAUACCAUGUUUUUCGGGAAAUCAAGUCCGACCAGCUGUGCCACACUUACCUUAAUCCUUCAGAAGUAUGAGAGUGCCUCAGGACAGCGUAUUAACCGAGAUAAAUCUUCCAUUACUUUCUCCUCGAAAACCACCAGCGCUGCAAAAGACAGAGUUAAGAGAGACCUAAGCAUUGGCAGUGAAGGCGGGAUUGGAAAGUACCUCGGACUCCCAGAACAUUUUGGCCGGAGGAAGCGUGAUAUCUUUGCUUCAAUUGUUGACAGGAUCCGCCAGAAAGCUCAUGGCUGGACGACGAGGUUCCUGUCACAUGCCGGGAAGGUGGUGCUUCUAAAAUCAGUUCUUGCAGCUAUGCCCACUUAUGCCAUGACGUGCUUUAAGUUACCGAAAUCUCUAUGCAAGCAAAUACAGGCUGUUCUCACAAGAUUUUGGUGGGAUUUGAAACCGGAAGUAAGGAAGUUGUGUUGGGUUUCGUGGGACAAGCUUACAAGACCAAAGAGUGCUGGAGGGCUGGGUUUCAGAGAGAUAGAAAACUUCAAUGAUGCUUUACUCGCGAAGCAUACAUGGAGGCUACUAAAAGACCCAUUUUCCCUGUUGGGACAGACUCUACUUAAUAAGUACUGUCGUGAACGAAAUCUUUUAGACUGUUAUGCUCCAAAUUCUGCUUCACAUGGCUGGAGAGGGAUUUUGGCUGGGCGUGACAUCAUCAAGAAGGGAAUGGGUUGGGUUGUGGGCAAUGGAGAUUGUAUCUCCGUGUGGCGAGAUAACUGGCUCUCAAUCGAACAUCAGAUGUGCCCCAUUGGACCGGCCGCAUGUGAGGAAGCAGACUUGAAAGUCAAAGAGCUUCUCCUCCCUGAUGGCUCAGACUGGAAUGUCGAUCAGAUUCGAAAAU